CCCAAACACCGACCCGACCACGUGACCCGCGGGAGAGCCGCCCCUCCCCCCACCGGGAACCGGGUGGUGCGCCGCCUCUCGGACGGUUCCCGCUUCGCCCUCAGGCGCUCGCUCCGCCCCUCUCGGGCCCCGCCCAGCGCCGCCAUUGGCUGCGGGAGUGCCACGCCCAGCUGGGGGCGGGGCCGGCGCCGGGGCUCCUCCCCCUGCUGGCGGCCUGGGAGCAGCGACGUCACUUCCUGUUGCUGCUCCCGCUGUGCCCGGCCGGAAGUUUGGGCAGCCAAUGGCGGCGAGGGGCGGGGCCAAGCUACAAAGGGGCGUGGCUCGGCUCUGGAGGGGCGUGGUCUCGCCCCUGAGGGGCGUGGCUUGGGUUUUGUGGGGC
This 379-nucleotide long non-coding RNA is filed under the name Camarhynchus parvulus. RNAcentral's name for it is "lncRNA (ENSCPVG00000016700.1)". Lineage: Eukaryota; Metazoa; Chordata; Aves; Passeriformes; Thraupidae. The record is from RNAcentral.